GACGAACGCUGGCGGCGUGCUUAACACAUGCAAGUCGAACGGUGACGGAGAGCUUGCUCUCCUGAUCAGUGGCGAACGGGUGAGUAACACGUGGGCAAUCUGCCCCUGACUUCGGGAUAACGCUUCGAAAGAGGUGCUAAUACCGAAUACGAAUCCUGCAGGCAUCUGCGGGAUUGGAAAGUUUUUCGGUCAGGGAUGAGCCCGCGGCCUAUCAGCUAGUUGGUGAGGUAAUGGCUCACCAAGGCGACGACGGGUAGCCGGCCUGAGAGGGCGACCGGCCACACUGGGACUGAGACACGGCCCAGACUCCUACGGGAGGCAGCAGUGGGGAAUAUUGCGCAAUGGGCGAAAGCCUGACGCAGCAACGCCGCGUGAGGGAUGACGGUCUUCGGGUUGUAAACCUCUUUCAGCAGGGAAGAAGCGAAAGUGACGGUACCUGCAGAAGAAGCACCGGCUAACUACGUG
RNAcentral lists this ribosomal RNA (465 nucleotides) under uncultured bacterium. RNAcentral describes it as "bacterial SSU rRNA". It matches the Rfam family "Bacterial small subunit ribosomal RNA", at positions 28 to 507 of the family's 1533-position model. The record is from RNAcentral.